RNAcentral lists this ribosomal RNA (301 nucleotides) under uncultured bacterium. RNAcentral describes it as "partial 16S ribosomal RNA". It matches the Rfam family "Bacterial small subunit ribosomal RNA", at positions 509 to 807 of the family's 1533-position model. The record is from RNAcentral.
CAGUAGCCACGGUAAUACGUAGGGUGCGAGCGUUAAUCGGAAUUACUGGGCGUAAAGCGGGCGCAGACGGUUACUUAAGCAGGAUGUGAAAUCCCCGGGCUCAACCUGGGAACUGCGUUCUGAACUGGGUGACUAGAGUGUGUCAGAGGGAGGUAGAAUUCCACGUGUAGCAGUGAAAUGCGUAGAGAUGUGGAGGAAUACCGAUGGCGAAGGCAGCCUCCUGGGAUAACACUGACGUUCAUGCCCGAAAGCGUGGGUAGCAAACAGGAUUAGAGACCCGCGUAGUCCCUGUCUCUUAUAC